This 682-nucleotide ribosomal RNA is filed under the name uncultured Clostridium sp. Its description in RNAcentral is "bacterial SSU rRNA". It matches the Rfam family "Bacterial small subunit ribosomal RNA", at positions 46 to 756 of the family's 1533-position model. The record is from RNAcentral. Lineage: Bacteria; Bacillati; Bacillota; Clostridia; Eubacteriales; Clostridiaceae.
GCCUAACACAUGCAAGUCGAGCGAUCUUCUUCGGAAGAGAGCGGCGGACGGGUGAGUAACGCGUGGGUAACCUGCCCUGUACACACGGAUAACAUACCGAAAGGUAUGCUAAUACGGGAUAACAUAAGAAAGUCGCAUGGCUUUCUUAUCAAAGCUUUUGCGGUACAGGAUGGACCCGCGUCUGAUUAGCUAGUUGGUAAGGUAACGGCUUACCAAGGCGACGAUCAGUAGCCGACCUGAGAGGGUGAUCGGCCACAUUGGAACUGAGACACGGUCCAAACUCCUACGGGAGGCAGCAGUGGGGAAUAUUGCACAAUGGGCGAAAGCCUGAUGCAGCAACGCCGCGUGAGCGAUGAAGGCCUUCGGGUCGUAAAGCUCUGUCCUCAAGGAAGAUAAUGACGGUACUUGAGGAGGAAGCCCCGGCUAACUACGUGCCAGCAGCCGCGGUAAUACGUAGGGGGCUAGCGUUAUCCGGAAUUACUGGGCGUAAAGGGUGCGUAGGCGGUCUUUCAAGUCAGAAGUGAAAGGCUACGGCUCAACCGUAGUAAGCUUUUGAAACUGUAAGACUUGAGUGCAGGAGAGGAGAGUGGAAUUCCUAGUGUAGCGGUGAAAUGCGUAGAUAUUAGGAGGAACACCAGUUGCGAAGGCGGCUCUCUGGACUGUAACUGACGCUGAGGCACGA